RNAcentral lists this long non-coding RNA (705 nucleotides) under Setaria viridis. Its description in RNAcentral is "long non-coding RNA (SVIR_LNC005405)". Lineage: Eukaryota; Viridiplantae; Streptophyta; Magnoliopsida; Poales; Poaceae. The record is from RNAcentral.
GGACUUGUUCUUUGUUGUAGUAUGUCUUGAUUUUCUUUCAUGGUUCGUAAUAUCAACCAUGGAAGAUUAUUUAUAUGUCAUAUUUCUAUUUUGAGGGACUUAUAUAUCUUUGAUGGUUUGGAAUUUUACUACAACAAAAAUUUGAGAAUUUUUGUACUUAUACUUUCUAGAAUCAUGAAGGAUGCCCCAACAGAGGGGUUGAUGGGGAUGAUGCAGGUACAAGCAUUAACCUUGGGUCACGGAACCAGAUGCAUGUUGCUGGAGAAUUAAUCCUUCACAUGCUAACCAUCAUUUGACUCUCGUUUUUCGCUUACAGGCAUAUAACAAAAAUUAGCCUUUCCAUCCGUUGUCGAUCCCCAAUCCAUACUCUACUCCAAUGGAUCAUUCUUUGUCUCGCUAGCUCCAGCAACAUUGCCACUAUCGUUGUGAUUCUUCUAUGGGAUCCAUGUCAAGAGAUAUUAUUGGGACACAUUAACUAGCUCCUUGAGAUUCAACUCUUACAACAGUACCUUCUCACUACAAGAAACCUGUUAAUGUAUGACGAAUUCUUUGUGACGGAUUCAGAAAACAUUAUUAACGGUGCCCCAUCUAUGACGAUUUGUGAAUUUUCAUCACAGAUCUACAAAUAGCCCAUCCACGCUCAAAUUCGGACCCGAUUUCUAUGACGAACCUCGGUAACCGUCAUAGAUUGAAAAUGAAAUCGUC